CCCAACUACUCACCGAGCCCAGCCUUGGGCGCAGAAGGCGGAGGAGGAGGCUCAUGGUGGAGAGUCCCAGACCGGCUUAGCUCCUGCCGGCUGCCCACUCACCUCCUCAACCAGACUAACAGGGCCUGAGAGGCCAGGAGUUCAAGGAAUUUCCAAAUCUCGGCCAAGGAAAAGGGAGAGAUUGCUUUUAAAACCAGCUCACUGACUUCAAGAUGGCAGGGUUUGGCCAUGACAGCGCACCUACCUCAAUGCCAGAGACCCAUCAUUUCCCACUUCUGGCUUGUGUGCACAUCAGUAGCAUGGAAAUGAUCAGCCUGGUUCUUGACUGAGAAGUAAUACUGGGGCAAUUGUAUUGUGUAUUACCAGUAGGGAAAGUCACAUCUACUAGGUAAUUUAUUAGCACCCUACAGAUACAGAAGAAACAACAUGAUUCUUAAAAAGUUUUUUUGGACUACAAAAUGAUUUUGUCUUGAAGAUAUUCGUCAAUUCCCUGCAGAUUUUGAAAGUCAGAUUUUUGUCAGAUUAUUUCAGGCAAGAAAAUCAGUGGAGUGUUACAAAAGAAAAAUUUAUUGUGGAAAUAGUGUUGACUGGGAAAAACCACUCUUUAAUGAAAGGGUUACAGUGCUGAGUUAGGCCUCUACACAGAGAGGCUGGCCACAAGCCUAUGCAGAGUAUGAGGAUUGAACUCUGGAUACUCUGAUCACUGAGCCCUGGGACAACUGUGCUAGAUUGGAUAAUUCCAAGGAACCACUAAAGCGGGCGAAUUUAAAUACCUUUUUAGGAGAACUGGGGGACAGAGGGGUGAGAAAAAUAGUUGGUUGGCUUUACAAUGGUAACUAGGGAAAAUGGGGAGUAAUAACAGUGAGGGGUGGAUGCUUUACUAUGGACACAAAAGGGCUGGGCCACCUUAAUAAAGGACUUUGGCCUAAGGGGAGGAACUUUUGCUACAGAAGAGAUACUUAAACAUCUGAUGGGAUUAGCUAUUCCCAUUUAUUUAAGAUCCAUUGUUAGUCCGAGGUCAGUGACCUUGGACUUUUCCUCAGGGAGAAAAUUUCAUGUGACUAGGUCAAGCCUGGAGCUUUCACCUUUAAGCUAACAAACUGGGGGUCAUUAAAUCUUUCUAGAUUACAAGUUUGGGGGCCUCUAGAUUCCAUGUUGACACCUCUUUUGGUCAAGACUAGAUGUCGCUGACCAAACAAAUGGGUGAUACUAAAUAGGGUUGGACUCUCACUAAUGGUGGGAAACCUUGGGGUAUAGGUAUGGGCAAUUGGCAUGUGGGGGCACCCCCCAAUGCCUGGCGCAUUGACACUUGUGCCAGAGAAAGGUCGGCAGUCUACCUUUGGCAAUUUUACAAUCCAUUUCCCCAAUCCCCCAAAGUCUUUUAAAUCUUUCAAAUCCGGUGGAUCCUGAUGAAAAGCCUCCUGCCUCCUCUUUCCUGCAGACUUCUUUUGUACAAGACAGCUUCUUUGCUGCAAGAGAAAACCAGAGAAAUCCAUAAACACCUUCUCUAACUGGACUUGAUCAAUUCCCAAUAAAGAUUAUCCUUGCUGCUAAUCUUAAUCUGGAAUCCCUUAUUAUUAAUUCUAUUAAUGUCUAUUCUAUACCAAUUAUGAAAUUAUGUAAACUAUAUGCUUAAUCAGAAAAGUUGCCUUAUUCUACACAAAUAAUCAUAUAAAAAGCAACCCUACAAACGGUCAACGUGGAAAUCUAGAAAUCCCCAGUUUAUUUAGUUUGAGUGUAGAAACCCCAGGUUUUGACCUUGUCACAGGAGAGGUUUCCCCCUCAGGGAAGGUCCCUCUUCACCAGACAAUGGAUUUCCAGGUAGUUUGAGUGGGAACAGCUAAUCCCAUCCAAUAUUAAGUAUCUCUUUUGUCCCUAUUUUUUUUUCUCCCCCUAGGCUAAGUUAUGUCCAUUGUAGGGCAUCCGCCCCUCACUGUUAUUCCUGUCUGGAACUCCUCAUUUUCCUUUCUUACCAUUGUAAUGUCAGUCAACUGUCCCUCUCACUACAAGCCCCCAGGUCAUCUAGAGUGGUAUAUGGGUUCCCCAAAUUCUUUUGUUCCUCGGAGUCCAACCUGAGUUGGUGGCACUCCCAAGGGUCAGUGACCAGGGCGUCCAGACUGUGCAGUCUCAGAGAGCAGCUCUGUUGUCGCAACUUAGUAGCGCUAACCCCUUUUCCCUUGAUUAAAGAGUGAUUUUGACUAUUUAAUAGUUCUGCGUUUUUUCUAGUUGACAAAACUAUAGAAAUAAAAGGCAAAAAUAAAAUCCACAUCACAGGUUAAUCAGGGCUUGUAAAUCUGAAAAUGGCCCUUCUCUCUGUUCAUAGCCAAAAAUUAAAAUAAUGUCUAACCCUAAGUAAAAUUCUAACCAGAUAUUCUAUCACCAAAAAAUCCAAAACCACAUUAAAAUGCAUAGCAAUUUCAGCCUUGAAACAGUUUUAAAGGCAAAAUUAAAAUUGACUCCCAAAAUUCUCAAAAUUAAAAAUGCUUCUACCUUUCCCUAAUUUUAAAACCUCUCACACAUACCUCUUUGUUUCCUCAGUCAUUUCAUCUUUCACCUGACAAUAUUAGAUGUUAUACAAAAGCUUAUUUCUUUCUUCUCCUUUCCCCUAAACCUUUUGUAAUCUAUUCCAUGACUAAUAAUUUGUGCACAAAUGCACAAAUAUUAAAGAUGAAAACAGAGACAACUAGGUGGCACAGGGAAUAGAACGCCAGGUCUGCAGACCAGAGCACCUGGGUUCAAAUAUGACUUCAGAUACUUCCUAGCUUUGUGAUCCUGGGCAGGUUAUUUAAGCCUAGCCCUCACCCUUCUGUCUUAGAGUUGUUACUAAGACAGAAAAUAAAAGUUUAAAAAAAAGAAGAUAAAACUUUCUCCUCUCUAAUUUUUUAAUACUGUGAUUUUUAAUAUAUAGGUCAUAUUAUCAUUUACAUUUUAUUAUUGAUAUAAGCUUUAAGAUAUUGUCCUAACCCUGUUUCACUGUCAAACUGCUUUCUAGUUUUCCCAAAGGUUCUUGUCAAAAUAAAAAGAAGCUUCUUCCCUA
This is a non-coding RNA of Monodelphis domestica (gray short-tailed opossum), 3037 nucleotides long. The record is from RefSeq and is a predicted model, not a curated record. NCBI's taxonomy places the organism in Eukaryota, Metazoa, Chordata, Mammalia, Didelphimorphia, Didelphidae.